Molecule: ribosomal RNA, 245 nt
Filed under: uncultured bacterium
Lineage: Bacteria
Description: partial 16S ribosomal RNA
Rfam family: Bacterial small subunit ribosomal RNA
Source: RNAcentral
UACGGAGGUGGCAAGCGUUGUUCGGAAUUACUGGGCGUAAAGGGCGCGUAGGCGGCCGAGCAAGUCAGAUGUGAAAUCCCCGGGCUCAACCUGGGAAUUGCAUCUGAAACUGCGUGGCUUGAGUUCUGGAGGGGGUAGUGGAAUUCCCAGUGUAGCGGUGAAAUGCGUAGAUAUUGGGAGGAACACCGGCGGCGAAGGCGGCUACCUGGACAGUGACUGACGCUGAUGCGCGAAAGCUAGGGGAG